ACUUUGAUCAUGGCUCAGGACGAACGCUGGCGGCGUGCCUAACACAUGCAAGUCGAACGGAGCUCCGCCCUUCGGGACGGAACUUAGUGGCGAACGGGUGAGUAACGCGUGAAGAACCUGCCUUCCAGUGGGGGACAACAGUUGGAAACGACUGCUAAUACCGCAUGAUACUUUUGAGGGGCAUCCCUUGAAAGUCAAAGCUUUAAGUGCUGGAAGAUGGCUUCGCGUCUGAUUAGCUAGUUGGUGGGGUAACGGCCCACCAAGGCGACGAUCAGUAGCCGGUCUGAGAGGAUGAACGGCCACAUUGGGACUGAGAUACGGCCCAGACUCCUACGGGAGGCAGCAGUGGGGAAUAUUGGGCAAUGGGCGAAAGCCUGACCCAGCAACGCCGCGUGAAGGAAGAAGGCCUUCGGGCUGUAAACUUCUUUUACCAGGGACGAAGGACGUGACGGUACCUGGAGAAAAAGCAACGGCUAACUACGUGCCAGCAGCCGCGGUAAUACGUAGGCUGCAAGCGUUGUCCGGAUUUACUGGGUGUAAAGGGCGUGUAGGCGGAGGCGCAAGUUGGGAGUGAAGUCUAUGGGCUCAACCCAUAAACUGCUCUCAAAACUGUGUCCCUUGAGUAUCGGAGAGGCAAGCGGAAUUCCUAGUGUAGCGGUGAAAUGCGUAGAUAUUAGGAGGAACACCAGUGGCAAAGGCGGCUUGCUGGACGACAACUGACGCUGAGGCGCGAAAGCGUGGGGAGCAAACAGGAUUAGAUACCCUGGUAGUCCACGCUGUAAACGAUGAAUACUAGGUGUGGGAGGACUGACCCCUUCCGUGCCGCAGUUAACACAAUAAGUAUUCCACCUGGGGAGUACGACCGCAAGGUUGCAACUCAAAGGAAUUGACGGA
RNAcentral lists this ribosomal RNA (894 nucleotides) under uncultured Bacillota bacterium. Its description in RNAcentral is "bacterial SSU rRNA". It matches the Rfam family "Bacterial small subunit ribosomal RNA", at positions 10 to 917 of the family's 1533-position model. The record is from RNAcentral. Lineage: Bacteria; Bacillati; Bacillota.